RNAcentral lists this small nuclear RNA (103 nucleotides) under Schistosoma margrebowiei. The record is from RNAcentral. Lineage: Eukaryota; Metazoa; Platyhelminthes; Trematoda; Strigeidida; Schistosomatidae.
GUACUCGCAUCGGCGGUACAUAUACUAAAAUUGGAACGAUACAGAAAAUAGUAUGGCCAGUGCGCAAGGAUGACCCGUAAAUCGUGAAGCGUUCCAUAUUUUU